This 501-nucleotide ribosomal RNA is filed under the name uncultured bacterium. RNAcentral describes it as "partial 16S ribosomal RNA". It matches the Rfam family "Bacterial small subunit ribosomal RNA", at positions 29 to 523 of the family's 1533-position model. The record is from RNAcentral.
AUUGAACGCUAGCGGCAUGCCUUACACAUGCAAGUCGAACGGCAGCGGGGAGCUUGCUCCCGCCGGCGAGUGGCGAACGGGUGAGUAAUACAUCGGAACGUACCCAGUAGCGGGGGAUAGCCCGGCGAAAGCCGGAUUAAUACCGCAUACGCCCUACGGGGGAAAGGGGGGGAUCGCCAGACCUCUCCCUAUUGGAGCGGCCGAUGGCUGAUUAGCUAGUUGGUGGGGUAAAGGCCUACCAAGGCGACGAUCAGUAGCUGGUCUGAGAGGACGACCAGCCACACUGGGACUGAGACACGGCCCAGACUCCUACGGGAGGCAGCAGUGGGGAAUUUUGGACAAUGGGCGAAAGCCUGAUCCAGCAAUGCCGCGUGUGCGAAGAAGGCCUUCGGGUUGUAAAGCACUUUUGUCAGGGAAGAAAUCGUUUGGGUUAAUACCCCGAGCAGUUGACGGUACCUGAAGAAUAAGCACCGGCUAACUACGUGCCAGCAGCCGCCGUAA